Molecule: non-coding RNA, 94 nt
Organism: Cicer arietinum (chickpea)
Lineage: Eukaryota; Viridiplantae; Streptophyta; Magnoliopsida; Fabales; Fabaceae
Source: Rfam
UGUUGGCUAUGAAGAUUUCUAAUUACAGCUUCAAUGCCAGUUCUGCUUCUGAAAAAUCGUGAUUGUUAGAGCUGUCUAAUGUUCUGAGCCUCUC